UUGAACGCUGGCGGCAUGCCUUACACAUGCAAGUCGAACGGUAGAGGAGCAAUCCUCGAGAGUGGCGAACGGGUGAGUAAUGUAUCGGAACGUGCCCAGUAGUGGGGGAUAGCCCGGCGAAAGCCGGAUUAAUACCGCAUGAUACCUGAGGGUGAAAGCGGGGGACUCGCAAGAGCCUCGCGCUACUGGAGCGGCCGAUAUCAGAUUAGGUAGUUGGUGGGGUAAAAGCCUACCAAGCCUGCGAUCUGUAGCUGGUCUGAGAGGACGACCAGCCACACUGGGACUGAGACACGGCCCAGACUCCUACGGGAGGCAGCAGUGGGGAAUUUUGGACAAUGGGGGAAACCCUGAUCCAGCCAUUCCGCGUGAGUGAAGAAGGCCUUCGGGUUGUAAAGCUCUUUCAGCAGGAACGAAACGGUCGGCUUUAAUAAAGUCGGCUAAUGACGGUACCUGCAGAAGAAGCACCGGCUAACUACGU
Molecule: ribosomal RNA, 478 nt
Filed under: uncultured bacterium
Lineage: Bacteria
Description: bacterial SSU rRNA
Rfam family: Bacterial small subunit ribosomal RNA
Source: RNAcentral